AAAAUUAUAGCCUCAGUGCUUCUAACAAACUUUAAACACAAACCUGACACAUUUAUAUAUAGUCAUCCUCCCAGAAUACAAAGUCUCUUGUUUUAUAUUCCUAUAUAUAGAUACAUAUACUUAAAACUUAAGGUUCUUCGGAAGUCCCUGAUCAGAGGCCUGUGUCAGUCUGCUCCCUCUUCCCCUCGGUAUGCCACUGAUAGUAUCCAUACAUAAUAGCAUAUUGUAUUAUGGUGGCAUAUUCUUUAUUGAUAAGCUUGAGGAUGAUUGUAGUGUGUUUGUAUCCAGUUUAGUACAUAUCAGCAUCAUUGUUUUAUAUAUGGGUCAGGUGACCAUCUUUGUAUGUAGAGAGGAACAUAAGUAUCUUUUCUAUAGACUGAUGUGUAAAAUGUUCUGUCUUAUAUUACAGUAUCUACAUCUAGGAAGUGUAUGUUAUGUUUGGCUAUUGUUCAGUUUUAAGAUCUA
Molecule: long non-coding RNA, 465 nt
Filed under: Androctonus crassicauda
Lineage: Eukaryota; Metazoa; Arthropoda; Arachnida; Scorpiones; Buthidae
Source: RNAcentral